Molecule: long non-coding RNA, 591 nt
Filed under: Homo sapiens (human)
Lineage: Eukaryota; Metazoa; Chordata; Mammalia; Primates; Hominidae
Description: HSALNT0357211
Source: RNAcentral
UUAACUGGAGGAGGGUAAAAACCUCCUCUAAGCCAAGUUAGAAUCCUCCAAGAAAUAGAAUUGCUCUUAGCCCUGAGUGUGAAAUUUUUGCAGAAGUCCCUGAAUUGCAGAUGUUCCCUCCAAGAGGGAAGGAGGGAGAGUGCGCAAUCUCCCUGGUCUGAAGUGAGAACGGCCUAUGCUCUCACUCUUUGUUCCCCUCCCCAGGGAAAUCCAGUUACCCACUGGGAGUGAGCUGCCCCCUAACCCCGCAUGACCCUGUUCCCCGGGAGGGGCAGCCUGGGGAGUGACAGGCAUGACCUCGAUGGUGGGCCAGGGGCCUCCUCAGAGGAGCAAAGAGAAGCUUGGUGGAAGAGAAAGCCGCUAGUAUUCAGCGAGAAGAUCACUCAAAUCCUUCACCAGCAUGCUCAGUGAAGAAUGCAUUAAAAAAAUUAGACUUUUUUUCUUCCUGGCAACAAAAUCUUGCCAAAAUAAGUACCAAAAUAAGUGUUCCAAUGGUUUUAUUUGGGGAAAGCCAACGCUUUCCCCAAAAAGACUUUUUCUUGUUUCUCAUUUGGCUGCUACAAAUAAAGCUGCAAUGAACAUACAUGUACA